Molecule: ribosomal RNA, 305 nt
Filed under: uncultured bacterium
Lineage: Bacteria
Description: bacterial SSU rRNA
Rfam family: Bacterial small subunit ribosomal RNA
Source: RNAcentral
CCUACGGGACGCAGCAGUGAGGAAUAUUGGUCAAUGGGCGGAAGCCUGAACCAGCCAAGUCGCGUGAGGGAAUAAGGCCCUACGGGUCGUAAACCUCUUUUGCCGGGGAGCAAGGGCGGGGACGUGUCCCGGCCCGGAGAGUACCCGGAGAAAAAGCAUCGGCUAACUCCGUGCCAGCAGCCGCGGUAAUACGGAGGAUGCGAGCGUUAUCCGGAUUUAUUGGGUUUAAAGGGAGCGUAGACGGCAGAGCAAGUCUGAAGUGAAAGCCCGCGGCCCAACUGCGGGACUGCUUUGAAAACUGCCCG